ACCCACGAGAAGCUGAUCCCAUGACUAAAGUGCAGGCCGAACUAGACGAGACCAAAAUCAUUCUGGGGACCAAGCUGGGAACCAGUGGAACCCUCAAGUCUCCCUUCCUCAUGGCCACUGCCUGUCUGAGCAUUUACUGGGUUCCUAGGGUUUGGCUUCUGAAGACCUGGAUUCCCACCCUGGUGCCUUUGUUAGGGUUUCAGGUGCCUCCACACCCCAUAGGUGCCUCCCCUUGCAGUGUUUGCAUUGAAGGUGAACAGAUUGAAGCGCAGUGCACUGACCACAGGGCAGCUUCUGGUAUAUGGGCCCAGGGUUGUCACACAGGCCCCUUUGAAAAGCGCCAUUUUGAGCUGAAA
Molecule: small RNA, 356 nt
Filed under: Pongo abelii (Sumatran orangutan)
Lineage: Eukaryota; Metazoa; Chordata; Mammalia; Primates; Hominidae
Description: processed transcript
Source: RNAcentral